UUUCUCUGUAUAGGGGUAGGAGGUAGUGACUGUGAACUGUAUAACUCUACAGACUGAACAACUACCGGUCUCUUUUUUGCGGUUAGCUGGUCGAUGUGCUCCUCUGUGAUGAACACGGCGCCAUUACUUCGGAUGGCCGGAUGUGCACUCUGGACUGGAUCACUUGUGCUUCAAGAUUUUGGAUAAGCAUCUGGAUUAAAGGUCUGUCUGUCUUUUUAGAAAGACAUGAAGUGUAUGAAUUGAAAGGGUGAUUUCCUGAUGCCUUGGUGUCCACAUGAUGGCGCUCUUCUCCCAACUCUGGAAUGACAAAGCCCUCACUCAUUCCAUUUUGCUGCGUAAGCCUAAGAUGGGUCUGUCCUGAAUGGACUAAAUGCUCAACAUCAGAGCUGGGAAUGGUGCCAAGCCAGAUUUUCAGCAUUACACACAUCACUUUUCAAAGGGGGUCAGCCAUGUAAUGCCACUGGUGAUCCUUAAUGCAGUGAUCCCACAUCAGUGCCCUGAGAAAUACCAUGCAGGUGUUUAUAGGGUGGUUCAGAUCAACUGGAGAGUCUAAGCUGAUGAACAAAAGUUUGCUGUAGUGUGUAAUGUUUUUCUAAUAAAAGUGUGAAAUGAUUAGGCUUUUGUGAAGAUUUGAUAUCAAACUCCUUUGUUUGUUUGUGUGGUUAAUGUCCUAACUUCCUCACCAAUUAAAAAGUCCUUUGCUAUAAAA
Molecule: long non-coding RNA, 709 nt
Organism: Silurus meridionalis
Lineage: Eukaryota; Metazoa; Chordata; Actinopteri; Siluriformes; Siluridae
Exons: 9
Source: RefSeq, a predicted model, not a curated record